GCGUGUGGGUAGAGAGUUGCUCGGCGCUGGAUGAGGCCUCUCUCCGAGCCUUGAGACAAUAAAUGCUGGUUAAAAAGAAGAAGUUCUCCUCAUCGUUGUGAAUGUAUGUCGUGUAUGAAUGCUGUAGUAACUAAAUUACCCUCUGAUAUCGUCAGCACAUUGACUCUCUGGGACUCUUCUUGUCAGUUGGACGUUUUUCUGAAGAAAGAUGAAACCAUACUAGGUGGCAAGACAUCAGUGGCCAUUGUUUCUCUCCACUCCAAACUUCAAGCAGCACAGAUUUUGCUGCAUGGGGUUUAGGACCAGACCGACUACACAUGCAUGCACAAAACCUCCUCGGGGCUGGAACGGGCUGGGCCUGUGGAGGAGCGGUGGCCCAGGCUUCGCCC
Cottoperca gobio is the source of this 389-nucleotide long non-coding RNA. RefSeq lists it as uncharacterized. The transcript is spliced from 3 exons. NCBI's taxonomy places the organism in Eukaryota, Metazoa, Chordata, Actinopteri, Perciformes, Bovichtidae. The record is from RefSeq and is a predicted model, not a curated record.